This 549-nucleotide long non-coding RNA is filed under the name Mytilus galloprovincialis (Mediterranean mussel). The record is from RNAcentral. Lineage: Eukaryota; Metazoa; Mollusca; Bivalvia; Mytilida; Mytilidae.
CGGAUCCAUCUGAAAAUUUCAGGGCAGAUAGAUCUUGACAUGAUAAACAAUUUCACUCCGUCAGAUUUGCUCUAAAUGCUUUGAUUUUUGAGUAUAUAACCAAAAACUGCAUUUUACCCUAUGUCCUAUAUUUAGCCGUGGCAGCCAUCUUGGUUGGAUGGCCGGGUCACCGGACACAUUUUUUAAACUACAUACCCCAAAGAUGAUUGUGGCCAAGUUUGGAUUAAUUUAGCCCAGUAGUUUCAGAGGAGAAGAUUUUUGUAAAAGAUCACCAAGAUUUACGAAAAAUGGUUAAAAAUUGACUAUAAAGGGCAAUAACUCCUUAAGGGGUCAACUGACCAUUUCGGUCAUGUUGACUUAUUUGUAAAUCUUACUUUGCUGAACUUUUGCUGUUACAGUUUAUCUCUAUCUAUAAUAAUAUUCAAGAUAAUAACCAAAAACAGCAAAAUUUCCAUAAAAUUACCAAUUCAGGGGCAGCAACCCAUCAACGGGUUGUCCGAUUCAUCUGAAAAUUUCUGGGCAGAUAGAUCUUGACCUGAUAAACAAUUU